ACUCGCGCACUCACGAUACCGUGAUUGCUCCCCGCAGUAGAGGCCCUAAAAUAUUUUAAAAAGCUGCUCAAAAGAAGGGGAGGCAAGUCGUAGCAUGGUAA
This 101-nucleotide ribosomal RNA is filed under the name Melanotaenia sexlineata (Fly River rainbowfish). RNAcentral describes it as "partial 12S ribosomal RNA". The record is from RNAcentral. Lineage: Eukaryota; Metazoa; Chordata; Actinopteri; Atheriniformes; Melanotaeniidae.